UUAAAUUUAUUUAUAGUAAACGCGUCUAUUUUCUUUACGUCUUAUUAUGUUAGAUCGUAGACAAGAAUACGUUUGUCGGCUUUCUAUUAAUAUACAUACAUAAGUUUUUAAUACUAUGCAUGCUGUUUAGGUCCAGUGUCGUAAACAAGUAUCGUAUAUUUCUACAUGCUCACAGGUGUGCGACGCGCACAAGCUCGUUUAUUUAAAAAUUGUAAACAACGGCCGCGAGAGCAUCGCGCGCAACUGUGAUUCACGUUCACGUUCCUUCGAUACAAGGCCAACCGUUUAGCUUGUUUCCACUUACAUACGUACUACGUACUUAAUUACUUGCGUAGCAAGACAUGUAUACACGCUGGAUUCUAUAUUCAGAUCUUUUUUUUUCUUCUUCCUCUUCUUAAAAAAAAAAACAGAAGAAAAAUAACAUAUUUUUCCUCUUUGUCUUUUAUUUUCCAUUUAUUAUUCACAGACAGAGGAAAAUAAUACGACACGUUAGAAAUUAAUUGAAAAUAAUCUACGUUAGUUUAACGAGUCCGGAAGAUAGUCGUGUUUAAAUGCAAACGCGUGAAAGAAGCGUGCGGUCGUUGAUUCUUCUAUCGUGGAUAAGAAAAAAGUAUAUUAGAUAAAACGUUAUCGUCAAACGAGAGCACCGACAUGUAACGCUUUGAAAUUGCAUCAUUGUACAAUAAUUGCGCUGUACCGAAAGCCGAGAGUACAUAGAAAAUUUGUGCUAAGCUUAUACGCAGUUUUCUCGACAUAUUAUAAAAGAAGAAGAAGAAGAAGAAAAAAAAACAAAAAGAAAGAGAACAAAAAUAACAAAAAAAGAUAAUAUUAUUUAGCUCGGAAUAUUUUGAUAAUCCAUCGCUAUUAAUUUAUCUAUUUAUCGAGAAAUUCGCGGAAUAUAAAAGUACUUUUCAAACAAUGUUGUUGUUUCGAACGAAAAGCAAUAAUGGAUCGUUGAGAUUAUUUAGAAAUCUCUCUCUCUCUCUCUCUCUGUCUUUUUCCAUUUCUUCGAUUGCCAAAGAAGGAAAGAAUAUAUUUGCCGAAAAAAUAUUUACCGCGAGCCCGAGUGGUAAAUACCAUCUGUCUAUCAGUAAUCGUGUUGGGUAUUUCUCCAAGUCAGUCGCGAUAGAAGAGAGGAAGAUGAGGGACGCGUACCAUGUACUUGAUAGGGGCAGGGAGUGGGAGUAGAAGAAGAAAAAGGGGGAGGGAGGACGAAUAGAGAGAGGGACAUGGCAAUCACGUUCAGAGAAGAGGGGGAGGAAGAGAAAUCACGAUUACACUGCUUGUACGCCGUUAUCGAUAAACAUCCGAGUGACAGUGAGCAAGUGAGAGAGAGAGAAAGAGAAAGAGAAAGAAAAAAAGAGAUAGAAAAAGUCUCUGAUUAUAAGAUGGAAAAGGAGAGAGCGUCAACUACUAAUGAAAACAACAACAACAACAACAAAAUUGUCGAGGAGAGAACUUUUGCGAGUCAGUGUCUUGGCACGAGGAGAACGCACGACCAACGGACAAAAGUCCAGUAAAGAUGACGAAAGCGUUUACUGCGAAGAUUACCGCUUGCGUUAUGACUAACUUGUCUGCGAUUUGCGCAGUGUCGAAUCGCAACUAUUUAUUACGAUGUAAUCCCCGAGUUACGAGUGGGGUCAGAGUAUUUUUAACGACGCUAUUAAUGGAGAUUCAUAUUUCGAAAUAAAAUAACACGAGAGAUAUUGUAAUUUUAUUAAUAAACAACUGAUAUCUA
This 1738-nucleotide long non-coding RNA is filed under the name Polistes fuscatus (common paper wasp). Its description in RNAcentral is "uncharacterized LOC122517497, transcript variant X1". Lineage: Eukaryota; Metazoa; Arthropoda; Insecta; Hymenoptera; Vespidae. The record is from RNAcentral.